RNAcentral lists this long non-coding RNA (499 nucleotides) under Anas platyrhynchos platyrhynchos (common mallard). RNAcentral describes it as "lncRNA (ENSAPLG00000025641.1)". Lineage: Eukaryota; Metazoa; Chordata; Aves; Anseriformes; Anatidae. The record is from RNAcentral.
CCCCUCUCCUCCUUUCCCUCCCCAGCUUGCCAUGAAGGGCCCCCCCGGCCCCAUGGGGCUCACCGGCCGCCCGGGUCCUCUGGUGAGUGCUGCUGGCGUGGGGGCUGCUGCGGGACCCCCUUGGGGUGCCCACCUUGCACCGGGGUCUUUGGGCACCCCAGCAGACCCCCAGUGGCGGGGGCUCCACGCUCUCCGUUUUUUUUUAGGGUCUGCCAGGGCACCCGGGCCUGAAAGGGGACGCAGGGGACAUGGGGCCGCGGGGUCCCCGGGGACUGCAGGGACCCCCGGGACCACCGGGGAAGCUGGGCAGACGGGGUCGCGCUGGAGCAGACGGUGCCAGGGGACUCCCGGGGGACACCGGACCCAAGGGUGACCGGGGCUUCGAUGGUUUGCCGGGGCUACCGGGGGAGAAAGGCCACAGGGGUGACGUGGGGAAGCCAGGACCUGCGGGCACCCCCGGGGAGAAAGGAGCCAGGGUGAGGAGCCUGAGGGGGGGGGG